UGGGGAAUAUUGGACAAUGGGCGAAAGCCUGAUCCAGCAAUGCCGCGUGUGUGAAGAAGGCCCUCGGGUUGUAAAGCACUUUCAGUGGGGAGGAAAGCCUUUGGGUUAAUAACCCAGAGGGGUGACGUUACCUACAGAAGAAGCACCGGCUAACUGUGUGCCAGCAGCCGCGGUAAUACAGAGGGUGCAAGCGUUAAUCGGAAUUACUGGGCGUAAAGCGCUCGUAGGCGGGUGCCUAAGUCGAUUGUGAAAGCCCUGGGCUUAACCUGGGAACUGCAGUCGAUACUGGGCAUCUAGAGUAUGAUAGAGGAUAGUGGAAUUCCCGGUGUAGCGGUGAAAUGCGUAGAUAUCAAGAGGAACACCUGAGGUGAAGACGGGUUGCUGGGCUGACACUGACGCUGAGGCGCGAAAGCCAGGGGAGCAAACGGGAUUAGAUACCCACGUAGUCCCUGAGCGGGCUGGCAAGGCG
RNAcentral lists this ribosomal RNA (469 nucleotides) under uncultured bacterium. RNAcentral describes it as "bacterial SSU rRNA". It matches the Rfam family "Bacterial small subunit ribosomal RNA", at positions 355 to 822 of the family's 1533-position model. The record is from RNAcentral.